Long non-coding RNA from Cyprinus carpio (common carp), 1751 nucleotides. Lineage: Eukaryota; Metazoa; Chordata; Actinopteri; Cypriniformes; Cyprinidae. The record is from Ensembl.
ACCAUAUGAAACUAUCUUCCUAAAAUAAUGUCCGCAGGUCUAUAUGUGAGGAGAACUGAGAUGAUUUUGUUCAAAAUCAAUGAGUCAGCCAUCACAGAGUCAGCACUUUACUGCUCUUCCUGUGUUUCAACCACCAUCGGCCAGCAGGGGGCAGUGCUGUGGGGAUACAGUUCAUUGGGUGAAUGCUAAAGCAGGAUUUCAGGCUGAUUUAUUGCUAAUUCAAGGGUUUUCACUGCAUAAAAGUUCCUAUCUGGUAUUAAUUUGAUGCAAAUGCAGAAUAAAAUGGUGGUUAGAGAUUAGAUAAAUGAAAGUUGCCACAUAAAUAAUUGCAAAUUCAAGAGCCUUUGAUAAGGCCACAAACAAAGAAUCACAAACAAAAUAGCAUUGCAACAAACACUACCACAUAUGACCAGAAAUAUCUCAGGCCUUCGCAGAAGUUGGGGGUGUUAGGUGUGUCUGAGAGUGAUAGUGAGACAAACUUCCUCCUCAUACGUACAUUGGCCAACCUUCGCUUUAGAGGAAGAGAAGUGGCGCUGCGAGAGAAGAGAAAGCAGAGUUAUCAAAACCCACACAGUCUUCAUGUCCUGUGUCAGUGUUCGGUGAAAGGUGAUGGUUCUGACCGAAUCAUCUUCAGCUGGGGUGGAUGGAUUAACUGCUGGAUGACAACACGAACACGGUCUGUUGUGAGCUGCUGGUUCAUCAGUAGAGGACUAGAUGGAGGAGGCAGCAGAGACUGCACAGCUGAGGCAACCAAAGGUUCAGGAUGGUAGUACCCCAGUCCGGCACUCAGAAACCAAGCGUUACAGUGAGAUAUUACGCGAUUUUGACGCUAACUUGGAUCUUUCAUUAACAUGCUCGACUGUGGAUGAGCUACUACUAGAAGCAGACUCACUGUCUUUAACAGACACUUCAGCAGACACCACACUGAACGCUGAUCUGGAUGAUAUUACAGGUGAAGAUGUGGAGUCGUUGAAGAGCUGCCGUGAGGAGGAGGAAAAAGACGGAGCUGUAACCGGUAAUUCUUUUUAAGAUCAUUGUGUUUGCUUGCUGGACAUUUGGAGGAAGACUAACAGGGUGAAAAGAUUAAUGAGAUUUGCAAUGAACAAGUUUGUUUGUACUCUCAAAAAUAUUAGAAUGAAUAUCAUGCAUCCAGCUCGGUUUAUUGAGGUUGAUUGAUUCGAUAUGGUCUUCUGUCCAUCAUUUGGACAUAGACAGAGAUGACUGAUAUAUGAGAGAAGCAAAGCAAAGACAGUGACUGAUCAGGCCCGGAGGCAACAUGUCACUCCACCAAAUCUCUCUUCUUCAACCUGCACUGUUUACGUGUAAUUAGCCACAUGGACUAAUUGCCCCUCGCUAACAAGAUUAGCACCGGACGGGGGUUAGAGAGCAGAUUAAAGUAGCAGACAGCUGCUCUCUGUUUUUCCCGCUGAUCCAUCUCUCCGAAAACUGUUGAAAGAUAAGAUAGCAUGUUCGCUUUAGAACUGUAAUCUUUAUAUAAAAUUAGAGUAGUACAUAUGAACCAUAAAUUAUGAAGAAAAGAGUUGUAACCAAAGAUAAAAUGAGAUUAUUUUGAUUAGGUGAUAGCUGUGUUGUAUUGAAUAGCUAUAUAUUGACGUCAUCUUCCUUGGCUGCUACCUUGGCUAGACCUGCUUGUCCUGUGAGCAUAUAGCUGUUUGCUAGCUGAGAUUAGGGAUUACGUUAACACUCAAAGUUUAAAUAAAGCAUCCGCACAGUGACCUUCGAGAUGAUGA